UACGUAGGGUGCAAGCGUUGUCCGGAAUUAUUGGGCGUAAAGAGCUCGUAGGCGGUUUGUCGCGUCGGAUGUGAAAACCCGGGGCUCAACCCCGGGCCUGCAUUCGAUACGGGCAGACUAGAGUUCGGUAGGGGAGUCUGGAAUUCCUGGUGUAGCGGUGAAAUGCGCAGAUAUCAGGAGGAACACCGGUGGCGAAGGCGGGUCUCUGGGCCGAAACUGACGCUGAGGAGCGAAAGCGUGGGGAGCAAACAGG
Molecule: ribosomal RNA, 253 nt
Filed under: uncultured bacterium
Lineage: Bacteria
Description: partial 16S ribosomal RNA
Rfam family: Bacterial small subunit ribosomal RNA
Source: RNAcentral